Molecule: ribosomal RNA, 723 nt
Filed under: uncultured bacterium
Lineage: Bacteria
Description: bacterial SSU rRNA
Rfam family: Bacterial small subunit ribosomal RNA
Source: RNAcentral
CGGGUGAGUAACGCGUGAGCAAUCUGCCUUUAAGAGGGGGAUAACAGUCGGAAACGGCUGCUAAUACCGCAUAAAGCAUCAAAUUCGCAUGUUUUUGAUGCCAAAGGAGCAAUCCGCUUUUAGAUGAGCUCGCGUCUGAUUAGCUGGUUGGCGGGGUGACGGCCCACCAAGGCGACGAUCAGUAGCCGGACUGAGAGGUUGAACGGCCACAUUGGGACUGAGGCACGGCCCAGACUCCUACGGGAGGCAGCAGUGGGGAAUAUUGCGCAAUGGGGGAAACCCUGACGCAGCAACGCCGCGUGAUUGAAGAAGGCCUUCGGGUUGUAAAGAUCUUUAAUCAGGGACGAAACAAAUGACGGUACCUGAAGAAUAAGCUCCGGCUAACUACGUGCCAGCAGCCGCGGUAAUACGUAGGGAGCAAGCGUUAUCCGGAUUUACUGGGUGUUAAGGGCGCGCAGGCGGGCCGGUAAGUUGAAAGUGAAAUCUAUGGGCUUAACCCAUAAACUGCUUUCAAAACUGCUGGUCUUGAGUGAUGGAGAGGCAGGCGGAAUUCCGUGUGUAGCGGUGAAAUGCGUAGAUAUACGGAGGAACACCAGUGGCGAAGGCGGCCUGCUGGACAUUAACUGACGCUGAGGCGCGAAAGCGUGGGGAGCAAACAGGAUUAGAUCCCUGGUAGUCCACGCCGUAAACGAUGGAUACUAGGUGUGGGAGGUAUUGACCCCU